CCAAUAGCGUAUAUUAAAGUUGUUGCAGUUAAAAAGCUCGUAGUUGAAUUUCGGGGUCAGUAGGUUGGUCGUGCCACCGGUACGUACUGGUCUCACUGAUUCCUCCUUCCUGACGAACCGUAAUGCCAUUAAUUUGGUGUUGCGGGGGAACAGGACUGUUACUUUGAAAAAAUUAGAGUGUUUAAAGCAGGCUAACGCUUGAAUACAUUAGCAUGGAAUAAUGAAUUAGGACGAUCGAUCCUAUUUUGUUGGUUUCUAGGAUUGACGUAAUGAUUAAUAGGGAUAGUUGGGGGCAUUAGUAUUCAAUUGUCAGAGGUGAAAUUCUUGGAUUUAUUGAAGACUAACUACUGCGAAAGCAUUUGCCAAGGAUGUUUUCAUUAAUCAAGAACGAAAGUUAGGGGAUCGAAGACGAUCAGAUACCGUCGUAGUCUUAACCAUAAACUAUGCCGACUAGGGAUCGGAUGAUGUUAAUUUUAUAAUGACUCAUUCGGCGCCUUACG
Molecule: ribosomal RNA, 500 nt
Filed under: uncultured Glomeromycotina
Lineage: Eukaryota; Fungi; Glomeromycota
Description: partial small subunit ribosomal RNA
Rfam family: Eukaryotic small subunit ribosomal RNA
Source: RNAcentral